RNAcentral lists this ribosomal RNA (253 nucleotides) under uncultured bacterium. RNAcentral describes it as "partial 16S ribosomal RNA". It matches the Rfam family "Bacterial small subunit ribosomal RNA", at positions 524 to 776 of the family's 1533-position model. The record is from RNAcentral.
UACAGAGGUCUCAAGCGUUGUUCGGAUUCAUUGGGCGUAAAGGGUGCGUAGGCGGCGCCAUAAGUCAGGUGUGAAAUCUCGGGGCUUAACUCCGAAACUGCAUUUGAUACUGUGGUGCUUGAGGACUGGAGAGGAGACUGGAAUUCACGGUGUAGCAGUGAAAUGCGUAGAUAUCGUGAGGAAGACCAGUGGCGAAGGCGGGUCUCUGGACAGUUCCUGACACUGAGGCACGAAGGCCAGGGGAGCAAACGGG